AUACGUAGGUGACAAGCGUUAUCCGGAUUUACUGGGCGUAAAGGGCGUGUAGGCGGUCUUGCAAGUCAGAAGUGAAAUUCCUGAGCUCAACUCGGGCGCUUCUUCUGAAACUGCAGGACUUGAGUGCUGGAGGGGAUAGCGGAAUUCCUAGUGGAGCGGUAAAAGUCGCAGAUGUUAGGAAGAACACCGGUGGCGAAGGCGGCUAUCUGGACAGUAACUGACGCUGAGGCGCGAAAGCGUGGGGAGCAAACAGGAUUAGAUCCCCUGGUAGUCCACGCCGUAAACGAUGAAUACUAGGUGUGGGGGGACUGACCCCCUCCGUGCCGCAGUUAACACAAUAAGUAUUCCACCUGGGGAGUACGGCCGCAAGGUUGAAACUCAAAUGAAUUGGCGGGG
RNAcentral lists this ribosomal RNA (396 nucleotides) under uncultured bacterium. Its description in RNAcentral is "partial 16S ribosomal RNA". It matches the Rfam family "Bacterial small subunit ribosomal RNA", at positions 523 to 918 of the family's 1533-position model. The record is from RNAcentral.